Cyprinus carpio carpio is the source of this 1458-nucleotide long non-coding RNA. The record is from Ensembl. Lineage: Eukaryota; Metazoa; Chordata; Actinopteri; Cypriniformes; Cyprinidae.
CACGAAUCUGUUCCAUGGACUUUCAUCUGAUUAUCACAAGAGGUCGCUCUGUCACCAUAUUGACACUCACACCACACAGACUGUCACGCAUCACUCUGGACUACAUCUCCCAUGCUCCACUGCACUGAUUGCGCACUCACCUGCAUCCAAUAACACACUAUAUAACACUCUGAUCCUGCUGUAGUCACUAAGUAUUGUAUGCAUUUAUCUUCCUCCAAGCGAUAGCUACUCUACGGAGCCUGUCUAGUUUUCAGUUCCUAGUCAUUAUCUUGUCUUGUUUGUUUACUCGUGUUUUGAUUCUUGUCUGUUUAUUUUGUAUACCCCUUUCAUCUUACCAUUCGGACUCCGUUUACGCCAUGCUUGGAUUAUCGCCUGUUAUUGGAUUUACCGUUUGCCUCGCCCUCUGGAUUACGGUUACCGUCUUUGACCCACGCCUGUUUCAUGGAUCACUCUUCAGUCUCACCCUUGAUAUAUCUGUUUGCCAUUGUUUGACUUUUGCCGGUAUUGACCAUGUCAUUGAAUAAAGUGCAAGUGGAUCCGCUCGCCUCACGUCUCUGUCACCCCGUUACAGAAUACUCGGCCCCACAAGGAUCCAGCGGCUUUCCUAAAGGACCUUGGCCAAGUAUGGACCCUGUCGACCGGCUACUCUAUUCACGACAGGGGAGUUCACCUAUUGAGGAGUACGUCACUCAGUUCUGUCCAGAGUCUCCUGUGUCUCAGUUUUCUCCAGGUUCCAGUCUCUGCCUUGGUGGUCUUCUGUUCCCUCGCGGAGUUCUAACUCAAUCCCAGGGUCAUCCAUCUCCACAUGGACCUGUCCCUCCAUCCUUCCCCCGGUUCCACCUCCGCUCCACCACCCUCCUGGUUUUUGUAGUGUUUGGAGCGUCUGGAAGAGGGGGGCUCUGUCACGAAUCUGUUCCAUGGUCUUUCAUCUGAUUAUCACAAGAGGUCGCUCUCUCACCAUAUUGACACUCAGACCACACAGACUGUCACACAUCACUCUGGACUACAUCUCCCAUGCUCCACUGCACUGAUUGCGCACUCACCUGCAUCCAAUAACACACUAUAUAACACUCACUCUGAUCCUGCUGUAGUCGCCAAGUAUUGUAUGCAUGUAUCUUUCUCCAAGCGAUAGCUACUCUACGGAGCCUGUCUAGUUUUCAGUUCCUAGUCAUUAUCUUGUCUUGUUUGUUUACUCAUUUUUUGAUUCUUGUCUGUUUAUUUUGUAUACCCCUUUUGUCUUACCAUUCGGACUCUGUUUACGUCAUGCCUGGAUUAUCGCCUAUUAUUGGAUUUACCAUUUGCCUCGCCCUCUGGAUUACGGUUACCAUCGUUUGACCCACGCCUGUUUCAUUGAUCACUCUUCAGUCUCACUCUUGAUAUAUCUGUUUGCCAUUGUUUGACUUUUGCCGGUAUUGACCAUGUCAUUGAAUAAAGCCUUGCAAGUGGAUCCGCUCGCCU